CGGAGGGUGCAAGCGUUAUCCGGAUUCACUGGGUUUAAAGGGUGCGUAGGCGGGCUAUUAAGUCAGUGGUGAAAUCUCAGAGCUUAACUCUGAAACUGCCAUUGAUACUAUUAGUCUUGAAUGUUCUGGAGGUGAGCGGAAUAUGUCAUGUAGCGGUGAAAUGCUUAGAUAUGACAUAGAACACCAAUUGCGUAGGCAGCUCACUACGGAAAUAUUGACGCUGAGGCACGAAAGCGUGAGGAUCAAACAGGAUUAGAUACCCUGGUAGUUCACGCCCUAAACGAUGGAUACUCGACAUACGCGAUACACAGUGUGUGUCUGAGCGAAAGCAUUAAGUAUCCCACCUGGGAAGUACGACCGCAAGGUUG
RNAcentral lists this ribosomal RNA (368 nucleotides) under uncultured organism. Its description in RNAcentral is "bacterial SSU rRNA". It matches the Rfam family "Bacterial small subunit ribosomal RNA", at positions 526 to 896 of the family's 1533-position model. The record is from RNAcentral.